CCUACGGGUGGCAGCAGUGAGGAAUAUUGGUCAAUGGCCGUAAGGCUGAACCAGCCAAGUAGCGUGAGGGAAGAAUGCCCUAUGGGUUGUAAACCUCUUUUAUACGGGGAUAAAGUGUGGGACGUGUCCUAUUUUGUAUGUACCUUAUGAAUAAAGAUCGGCUAACUCCGUGCCAUCAGCGUCGGUAAUACGGAGGAUCCGAGCGUUAUCCGGAUUGAUUGGGUUUAAAGGGUGCGUAGGCGGCCUUUUAAGUCAGCGGUGAAAGUCUGUGGCUCAACCAUAGAAUUGCCGUUGAAACUGGGUGGCGUGAGUAUGUUGGAGGCAGGCGGAAUGCGGGGUGUAGCGGUGAAAUGCUUAGAGAUCACGCAGAACCCCGAUGGCGAAGGCAGCCUGCCAAGCCAUGACUGACGCUGAUGUACGAAAGCGUGGGGAUCAAACAGGAUUAGAUACCCGGGUAGUC
This 460-nucleotide ribosomal RNA is filed under the name uncultured bacterium. RNAcentral describes it as "partial 16S ribosomal RNA". It matches the Rfam family "Bacterial small subunit ribosomal RNA", at positions 338 to 795 of the family's 1533-position model. The record is from RNAcentral.